UACGUAGGUGGCGAGCGUUGUCCGGAAUUAUUGGGCGUAAAGCGCGCGUAGGCGGGACCAUAAGUCCACUUUAAAAGUGCGGGGCUCAACCCCGUGAUGGGGUGGAAACUGUGGUUCUUGAGUGCCGGAGAGGAAAGCGGAAUUCCCAGUGUAGCGGUGAAAUGCGUAGAUAUUGGGAGGAACACCAGUGGCGAAGGCGGCUUUCUGGACGGUGUCUGACGCUGAGGCGCGAAAGCCAGGGGAGCGAACG
This 250-nucleotide ribosomal RNA is filed under the name uncultured bacterium. RNAcentral describes it as "partial 16S ribosomal RNA". It matches the Rfam family "Bacterial small subunit ribosomal RNA", at positions 524 to 774 of the family's 1533-position model. The record is from RNAcentral.